This 792-nucleotide long non-coding RNA is filed under the name Olea europaea subsp. europaea. The record is from RNAcentral. Lineage: Eukaryota; Viridiplantae; Streptophyta; Magnoliopsida; Lamiales; Oleaceae.
GUUCUAUAACAAUAUUUGAUUUCUCUAAUCAAUCUCCUUUGUUCUUCAACUUUUAAUUACAAAAACAAUAAAUAACCAUUUAAUUCCUUCCAUUAUUUUUCGCAAACUGUUAUUUGCAAUUUCGUUCUGUGAAUUCAUAGUUGUGAAAGAAAUUUCAGCAUACGAUCAAAGAUUAGAUGUGAAGCACUAACUUGAGAUGUAUAGACGGAAAGAGGUGUCUUCUUCAGUUGGGCGUGGUGGUUGCUUCACUGUGGUCGAAGAUCGAAGCAAGGUUCGAACUUCUUCAAUGUCGACAAAUCUUCGACUUCACGGUUCACACUUUUUCUUCUUCAUUGACUUUGUUGUUGGUCGGAGACGAAGCUAAUUUCGACGGCGUUUUCCUACUAUCAUUAGUGAGGGAAGGUGGAGAUGGGGAUGAAGAGGUUGGGAAGGGUUUUGUUUGAAUUAGGGAGAAAUUAAAAGAGAAGAAUCAAAGCUGCCUCGUUAUCUGACCUUCAUUUUUUUCAUUCUUGCCAUGUCAUUAUGUGAGACCUCUGUGAAGGUUUGUUCUAUACGCCAAGCGGAAUUGUUCUCUCUCAUAAACCCACAAACAAAAAUUCAGGAAGGGUGCGGAUCUAGGAGAUAAACUAGGAAAGGGGUUGAAUAAUCUUCCUGAAUAGGAGCCCGUUCUCGUUAAUAACAACAAUGACAACACUGAUGCUAAUGAUAAUGAUAGUGAGUCAUUGAAGACAGAGUCUGCAAAUUUUUUUUUAUCGAUCGAGGAUGCUGUGCGGCAUCCAAGAAACGAGAAUC